Molecule: ribosomal RNA, 590 nt
Filed under: uncultured bacterium
Lineage: Bacteria
Description: bacterial SSU rRNA
Rfam family: Bacterial small subunit ribosomal RNA
Source: RNAcentral
ACUCCUACGGGAGGCAGCAGUAGGGAAUCUUCCGCAAUGGACGAAAGUCUGACGGAGCGACGCCGCGUGAGUGAUGAAGGCCUUCGGAUCGUAAAGCUCUGUUGUUAGGGAAGAACAAGUGCAAGAGUAACUGCUUGCACCUUGACGGUACCUAACCAGAAAGCCACGGCUAACUACGUGCCAGCAGCCGCGGUAAUACGUAGGUGGCAAGCGUUGUCCGGAAUUAUUGGGCGUAAAGGGCUCGCAGGCGGUCCUUUAAGUCUGAUGUGAAAGCCCCCGGCUCAACCGUGGAGGGUCAUUGGAAACUGGGAAACUUGAGUGCAGAAGAGGAGAGUGGAAUUCCACGUGUAGCGGUGAAAUGCGUAGAGAUGUGGAGGAACACCAGUGGCGAAGGCGACUGUCUGGUCCGGNUCUGACNCUGAGGCGCGAAAGCGUGGGGAGCAAACAGGAUUAGAUACCCUGGUAGUCCACGCUGUAAACGAUGAAUGCUAAGCGUUGGGGGCAUGCAUACCUCAGUGGCGCCGCUAACGCAUUAAGCAUUCCGCCUGGGGAGUACGGUCGCAAGANUGAAACUCAAAUGAAUUGACAGA